Molecule: ribosomal RNA, 440 nt
Filed under: uncultured bacterium
Lineage: Bacteria
Description: partial 16S ribosomal RNA
Rfam family: Bacterial small subunit ribosomal RNA
Source: RNAcentral
CCUACGGGAGGCAGCAGUGGGGAAUAUUGCACAAUGGGGGAAACCCUGAUGCAGCGACGCCGCGUGAGUGAAGAAGCGCCUCGGCGCGUAAAGCUCUGUCAGCAGGAACAACGAUGACGGUACCUGAAGAAGAAGCCCCGGUUACCUACGUGCCAGCAGCCGCGGUCAUACGUAGGGAGCAAGCGUUAUCCGGAUUGACUGGGUGUAAAGGGAGCGUAGACGGCGGGGCAAGUAUGGAGUGAAAGGCCGGGGCCCAACCCCGGGACGGCUGUUGAAACUGCCCGGCUGGAGUGCGGGAGAGGUAAGCGGAAUGCCUGGUGUAGCGGUGAAAUGCGUAGAUAUUAUGAAGAACACCAGCGGCGAAGGCGGCUUACUGGACCGUGACUGACGUUGAGGCUCGAAAGCGUGGGGAGCAAACAGGAUUAGAUACCCCAGUAGUC